AUUGAACGCUGGCGGCAGGCUUAACACAUGCAAGUCGAGCGGGGGAAGGUAGCUUGCUACUGGACCUAGCGGCGGACGGGUGAGUAAUGCUUAGGAAUCUGCCUAUUAGUGGGGGACAACAUCUCGAAAGGGAUGCUAAUACCGCGUACGUCCUGCGGGAGAAAGCAGGGGAUCUUCGGACCUUGCGCUAAUAGAUGAGCCUAAGUCGGAUUAGCUAGUUGGUGGGGUAAAGGCCUACCAAGGCGACGAUCUGUAGCGGGUCUGAGAGGAUGAUCCGCCACACUGGGACUGAGACACGGCCCAGACUCCUACGGGAGGCAGCAGUGGGGAAUAUUGGACAAUGGGGGGAACCCUGAUCCAGCCAUGCCGCGUGUGUGAAGAAGGCCUUAUGGUUGUAAAGCACUUUAAGCGAGGAGGAGGCUACUCUAGUUAAUACCUAGGGAUAGUGGACGUUACUCGCAGAAUAAGCACCGGCUAACUCUGUGCCAGCCGCCGCAGUAA
This 501-nucleotide ribosomal RNA is filed under the name uncultured bacterium. RNAcentral's name for it is "partial 16S ribosomal RNA". It matches the Rfam family "Bacterial small subunit ribosomal RNA", at positions 30 to 523 of the family's 1533-position model. The record is from RNAcentral.